UCCUACGGGCGGCUGCAGUCGAGAAUCUUUUGCAAUGGGCGAAAGCCUGACAAAGCGACGCCGUGUGAGCGAUGAAGGCCUUCGGGUUGUAAAGCUCUUUCGCCAGGGAACAAGGAAGGGAAACGAAUAGUUUCUUAACUUGAGGGUACCUGGUAAAGAAGUACCGGCUAACUCCGUGCCAGCAGCUGCGGUAAUACGGAGGGUACAAGCAUUAAUCGGAUUUACUGGGCGUAAAGGGUGCGUAGGCGGAUGGGAAAGUCAGAUGUGAAAUUCCGGUACUCAAUACCGGAGCUGCAUUUGAAACUCCCUUUCUGGAGGGUAGACGGAGAGAACGGAAUUCCAUGUGUAGCGGUGAAAUGCGUAGAUAUAUGGAAGAACACCUGUGGCGUAAGCGGUUCUCUAGUUUAUUUCUGACGCUGAGGCACGAGAGUGUGGGGAGCAAACAGGAUUAGAUACCCCUGUAGUC
RNAcentral lists this ribosomal RNA (466 nucleotides) under uncultured Simkania sp. RNAcentral's name for it is "bacterial SSU rRNA". It matches the Rfam family "Bacterial small subunit ribosomal RNA", at positions 337 to 795 of the family's 1533-position model. Lineage: Bacteria; Pseudomonadati; Chlamydiota; Chlamydiia; Parachlamydiales; Simkaniaceae. The record is from RNAcentral.